AGCAACGCCGCGUGAGGAUGAAGUAUUCGGUAUGUAAACUCGAAAGAAUAGGAAGAAUUAAUGACGGUACUAUUUAUAAGGUCCGGCUAACUACGUGCCAGCAGCCGCGGUAAUACUAGGGACCCAAGCGUUGUUCGGAUUUACUGGGCGUAAAGGGCGCGUAGGCGGCGCGGUAAGUCACUUGUGAAAUCUCUGAGCUUAACUCAGAACGGCCAAGUGAUACUGCAGUGCUAGAGUGUGGAAGGGGCAAUCGGAAUUCUUGGUGUAGCGGUGAAAUGCGUAGAUAUCAAGAGGAACACCUGAGGUGAAGACGGGUUGCUGGGCCAACACUGACGCUGAGGCGCGAAAGCCAGGGGAGCAAACGGGAUUAGAUACCCCGGUAGUCCUGGCCCUAAACGAUGAAUACUUGGUGUCUGGAGUUUUAAUGCUCCGGGUGCCGUCGCUAACGUUUUUAGUAUUCCGCCUGGGGAGUACGCUCGCAAGAGUG
This 487-nucleotide ribosomal RNA is filed under the name uncultured Acidobacteriota bacterium. Its description in RNAcentral is "bacterial SSU rRNA". It matches the Rfam family "Bacterial small subunit ribosomal RNA", at positions 390 to 896 of the family's 1533-position model. Lineage: Bacteria; Pseudomonadati; Acidobacteriota. The record is from RNAcentral.